CCGCGCGUCCUGGUAGACUGCAGGAGCCCAGGGCUUCUGGGGACUGUGACGGCGCCCAAGGCGGGGGAUAAGGCGGCUCCGGGUCGCCGCCCUCUGCCCCCCCGCUCUGUGAGGCCUCUCGAGGCAGUGUCUGUGUCUGGGGCAGCGACGCCGACGGCGUUGGGGCGCUAAGGGGCUCAUGCUCCUGCGUCCCCCUGGCGCCGGGUUGUUUUCAGUUUGGAGCUAUUAUGAAAAAGCUGUUAUGAACAUUACAUCUGUGUCUUUUGAUGGAUGCCUGCACUUGGAGACCCAGGAGUGGACAAUACUGGCUUCUUAAGGUACAAGCUUAAAGUGUUGCUGCUAGACCUUUCUUCUCUUGUAAUUAAACCAAAAAAUUAAGCGCAUGAUUAUGGAGUCUGACUGCUUGAGCUGGCUGCCCCACCUGCCUCAGUUUCUUCAUCAAUAUCUGGGACAUCAUCAUCCUAAUAGUACCUGCCUCCUGGCGGAGACCUGAAAGCAGCUUAACCAUGAGCAGCACUCAACUAAGCGAAGAAAUUCUUCGCAAUAAAUAGGGAUGUUUGAAAGGUUUUACGUUGGACCCGCCUUACCGUGGACAGACACUAGAGGGUGCUCCUCGCUCAGAAAGCCGCGUAUUGCCAGGCCUGGGACCUCUGCCAGGAAGCGCUUGGACUGCCGGUCCUGAAACUUUCUCUUUGGGUCUGGCAAUUUACUGGGGAGAAGUAUCUGCUGCCUUGGUUCUGAAACUAAAGGCUUUUACGGAAGGAGGAGGAGACUGCAAGCGGCUACAUGGAGCAGAAAUGGGGCUCCUCCAAACUUUCACCAAUUGGCGUUCUGCUGGACUGUGACUUGGAGAAUACGAGCAGUGUCUCAUUCACCCAGGAGUCCCAGGGUGUAGCACACAUAGUGUCUGGCAGAUAGUAAGCGCUUUGUAAAUAUUUAUGGAAUGGGACCAACCGAUGGGGGCGUCUAAGACCUAAAUAAUUAUAAUUCCGAAUUGGGGAGCGCUGGCACGAUGAUCACAGAGCAUUAAGGGCUCUCCCGGAAGAAUGGGGGCUGGGGAUGACUGGCCAGAAUGGCUUCCUGAAAUUCAGGAGCCCUGGCACUCUCUGGAGUACACAGAAAAGAUCUUCCACAUCUGGCUUUUGGAUAUUUAAAAACAGCUUCCUGCUCCAUUUCUUUCAUGUGCUUCCUGUGGAAUGAUUUCUAGGCUUUUCACUAAGUUGAUCGCUCCCUGCAGACUUAUAGGAAGGCAAAUAAUAGUUUAGCACCUACUGGGUUCAAGCAUCUCCUAUAAUCUCCAUUAUCUGAUUUAAUUGUGUCUUUAUCUCAUUUAAUCCCUACAACAACUCUGUGAGACUAAGGUUAUUAUCCGCAUUCUACAGAUUAGAACUUGGCAAGGUUUGAUAACGGGCCCAAGAUCACACCAUCAGGGAGUGACAGGACAGUAUUUGAACCCAGAUAGUCUAGUAGCAAAAGAUGCUUUUAAAAAUUUUCACUUAAAAGAAUAACAACAACAGCAACUAACAGUAUGGAGGGGGCCAGAUACUUUUCUGUGUAUUAACUCAUUUAAGUCAUUUAAUUGCUAUACACUUAGAUGUCAUCCUUUCUAUUAGUACAUUGCUAGUACUGAAAAGUGAAGAGAAUGAUAUAACAAACACCCAUGUACUCAUCACUUGGCAUGAAAAAAAGAUUAAAGUUGAUAUUAUCCAGCUGCAAAAAUCUUGAAAAAGAACAAGGUUGGAG
This is a long non-coding RNA of Cercocebus atys (sooty mangabey), 1743 nucleotides long. RefSeq lists it as uncharacterized. The record is from RefSeq and is a predicted model, not a curated record. NCBI's taxonomy places the organism in Eukaryota, Metazoa, Chordata, Mammalia, Primates, Cercopithecidae. The transcript is spliced from 5 exons.